Molecule: ribosomal RNA, 512 nt
Filed under: uncultured bacterium
Lineage: Bacteria
Description: bacterial SSU rRNA
Rfam family: Bacterial small subunit ribosomal RNA
Source: RNAcentral
UUAUGGCUCAGGAUGAACGCUAGCUACAGGCUUAACACAUGCAAGUCGAGGGGCAGCAUGUGGUUGCUUGCAACCAAUGAUGGCGACCGGCGCACGGGUGAGUAACGCGUAUCCAACCUUCCCUAUAGUAGAGGAUAGCCCGGCGAAAGUCGGAUUAAUACUCUAUGUUUUCCAAUGCAGACAUCUAAGUUGGAACAAAGGUUCACCGCUAUAGGAUGGGGAUGCGUCUGAUUAGAUAGUCGGCGGGGUAACGGCCCACCGAGUCGACGAUCAGUAGGGGUUCUGAGAGGAAGGUCCCCCACAUUGGAACUGAGACACGGUCCAAACUCCUACGGGAGGCAGCAGUGAGGAAUAUUGGUCAAUGGGCGAGAGCCUGAACCAGCCAAGUAAGCGUGCAGGAUGACGGCCCUAUGGGUUGUAAACUGCUUUUAUACAGGGAUAAAGUGACGUACGUGUACGUUUUUGUAGGUACUGUAUGAAUAAGGACCGGCUAAUUCCGUGCCAGCCGCCGC